This 481-nucleotide ribosomal RNA is filed under the name Salmonella enterica subsp. enterica serovar Typhimurium. Its description in RNAcentral is "partial 23S ribosomal RNA". It matches the Rfam family "Bacterial large subunit ribosomal RNA", at positions 454 to 934 of the family's 2925-position model. Lineage: Bacteria; Pseudomonadati; Pseudomonadota; Gammaproteobacteria; Enterobacterales; Enterobacteriaceae. The record is from RNAcentral.
CAUCCUCCAAGGCUAAAUACUCCUGACUGACCGAUAGUGAACCAGUACCGUGAGGGAAAGGCGAAAAGAACCCCGGCGAGGGGAGUGAAAAAGAACCUGAAACCGUGUACGUACAAGCAGUGGGAGCACAGGUUUACCUGUGUGACUGCGUACCUUUUGUAUAAUGGGUCAGCGACUUAUAUUCUGUAGCAAGGUUAACCGUAUAGGGGAGCCGGAGGGAAACCGAGUCUUAAUUGGGCGUUAAGUUGCAGGGUAUAGACCCGAAACCCGGUGAUCUAGCCAUGGGCAGGUUGAAGGUUGGGUAACACUAACUGGAGGACCGAACCGACUAAUGUUGAAAAAUUAGCGGAUGAUCUGUGGCUGGGGGUGAAAGGCCAAUCAAACCGGGAGAUAGCUGGUUCUCCCCGAAAGCUAUUUAGGUAGCGCCUCGUGAAUUCAUCUCCGGGGGUAGAGCACUGUUUCGGCUAGGGGGCCAUCCCGG